CCAGACUCCUACGGGAGGCAGCAGUGAGGAAUAUUGGUCAAUGGGCGGGAGCCUGAACCAGCCAAGUCGCGUGAGGGAAGACGGUCCUACGGAUUGUAAACCUCUUUUGCCGGGGAGCAACGGGGUCCUUGCGAGGGCCCAAUGAGAGUACCCGGAGAAAAAGCAUCGGCUAACUCCGUGCCAGCAGCCGCGGUAAUACGGAGGAUGCGAGCGUUAUCCGGAUUUAUUGGGUUUAAAGGGUGCGCAGGCGGUUUGUUAGGUCAGCGGACAAAGCGGGGGGCUCAACCCCAGCCCGCCGUUGAAACUGGCAGUCUCGAGUUGGAGAGAAGUAUGCGGAAUGCGCGGUGUAGCGGUGAAAUGCGUAGAUAUCGCGCAGAACUCCGAUUGCGAAGGCAGCAUGCCGGCUCCACACUGACGCUGAGGCACGAAAGCGUGGGUAUCGAACAGGAUUAGAUACCCCUGUA
This 464-nucleotide ribosomal RNA is filed under the name uncultured bacterium. RNAcentral's name for it is "bacterial SSU rRNA". It matches the Rfam family "Bacterial small subunit ribosomal RNA", at positions 331 to 792 of the family's 1533-position model. The record is from RNAcentral.